RNAcentral lists this ribosomal RNA (406 nucleotides) under uncultured bacterium. RNAcentral describes it as "partial 16S ribosomal RNA". It matches the Rfam family "Bacterial small subunit ribosomal RNA", at positions 30 to 526 of the family's 1533-position model. The record is from RNAcentral.
AUUGAACGCUGGCGGCAGGCCUAACACAUGCAAGUCGAACGAGUGGCGGACGGGUGAGUAAUGUCUGGGAAACUGCCUGAUGGAGGGGGAUAACUACUGGAAACGGUAGCUAAUACCGCAUACCAUCAGAUGUGCCCAGAUGGGAUUAGCUUGUUGGUGGGGUAACGGCUCACCAAGGCGACGAUCCCUAGCUGGUCUGAGAGGAUGACCAGGCCACAUUGGAAUGGGAACAGGUCCAGACUCCUAAGGGAGGCCGCAGGGGGGAAUAUUGGAACAUGGGGGCAAGCCCGAUGGAGGCAUGCCCGGGUUAAUGAGAAGGCCUUUGGGGUGUAAAAUACUUUUAGGCGGGGAGAGUUACCCGCAGAAGAAGCACCGGCUAACUCCGUGCCAGCAGCCGCGGUAAUUC